AAAUUUUGCAUUUUGCUUAUGUCUAAGUAGGGAGCAUUAUUGAAUAAAUUUGGUUUUGGAAUCUAAAGUUGGGGAGAGUAAAGUAAAAAGAGUUGAUUAGAAACUUGGAGAAGUGAGUUUUUAUGAAAGGGUGAAAAUAUGAGAAGAAAUAAGAAAAAGAAAUCACCCUUGAAACCAUAGAGCAAAGAAAAAGAAAAGAAAGAAAAAAACAAAGAAAAGGCUCAUGGUUAUGUGGAUGUAAAAAUAAAAAGAAAAGAAAAAGACGGGGAUCAAAGAAAUGGAAAUUGUGUAGAGUUAAAUGUAUGGGAAUGCUCCCUUAAGAUAGGCAAUUUUGUUGAAUUCUCUUAAUCAUAUCCUUUCUUGUAACUCAAGACACAUUACAACCCUUGAAAGACCUCUUGAUUCUCAUUUUUCACAUGUUUUGGUAAUUGUUUUGAUGACCGCAUGAUUUGAGUUGUUG
This 460-nucleotide long non-coding RNA is filed under the name Lathyrus oleraceus (garden pea). RNAcentral's name for it is "Pisum sativum (pea) long non-coding RNA (PSAT_LNC007541)". The record is from RNAcentral. Lineage: Eukaryota; Viridiplantae; Streptophyta; Magnoliopsida; Fabales; Fabaceae.